CGGAGCGUAGCGCAGCCUGGUUAGCGUAUUACCUCGGGAAGGUAAGGGUCGUGGGUUCAAAUCCCACCGUUCCGACCA
This 78-nucleotide transfer RNA is filed under the name compost metagenome. Its description in RNAcentral is "tRNA-Pro". It matches the Rfam family "tRNA". From Rfam's summary of the family: Transfer RNA (tRNA) molecules are approximately 80 nucleotides in length. The record is from RNAcentral.